UUCUCCUUUUCCAUCUUGCAUCUGAUGUUUAUGAACUUCUGUGGAAGCUUAUUCUUCUUGCUGCCUCCUGGGGAGUUUCUAUUUUUCUCUUGUUCGUCUGGAGGACCGUCCUUGCUGUAAAGCCUCCAGUGUGUCAAGUUACUUUAAAGCAGAUGACUGAGCAGAGCAAGAAUUUGGAGAAUGAAAACAGAGAACUUGCAGAAAAUAUAUCUGCUUGGGUGCAGAAGACCAACAACACAAAGAAAUGCUUAGAGGAGGCCAUCAGGCAAAAGAAGCUGCCCUCUGAGAAAGCACUGAAGUUUAAGGUACGAACCUCUUGUUAGAUUACAUUCUGAAAAUAGAAAUGAAAGUAAUGAGUAAUUGUUACUAAUUCAAUGUUUCAUUGAAUGAGAGCUUGAAAGCCAUUGAGAAGGUGAAUGAAAAUUUGAAUGACAUCAUUCAGAUUGUUCGAGCUAAGCUGCAGGCAGUGAGGGACCAGAACGCCAAGAGCCCACACCUGGUAAGAGCUGCCACAUUGACCAUAGCCGGGCUUCUGAGGCUUUUUGUGCCCUGGGCAAGCUGCGUGCACCUGCUCCUCCUGCUUUUGACCACAGCAGAGUGUGAGAGCCCAGGAGCGGAAACUCCCUGUGAACAAUGACCCAGAAUUUCAUGGACUAAAACCUCUGUGACUUUUUCUAUUUCAGAGACUAGGAAAUAUGUAU
Long non-coding RNA from Camelus dromedarius (Arabian camel), 701 nucleotides. RefSeq lists it as uncharacterized. The record is from RefSeq and is a predicted model, not a curated record. The transcript has 4 exons. NCBI's taxonomy places the organism in Eukaryota, Metazoa, Chordata, Mammalia, Artiodactyla, Camelidae.